Paramarasmius palmivorus is the source of this 95-nucleotide non-coding RNA. Lineage: Eukaryota; Fungi; Basidiomycota; Agaricomycetes; Agaricales; Marasmiaceae. The record is from the annotation of a GenBank genome assembly.
GUCCUGGUCGAUUAGUGGUUAAAUCAUCUCGUUGUGGUUCCCACCGUUGAAUACUUGCAACCGAGAAGCCGAGGGCUCGACUCCCUCCCGGGACA